Molecule: long non-coding RNA, 7981 nt
Filed under: Homo sapiens (human)
Lineage: Eukaryota; Metazoa; Chordata; Mammalia; Primates; Hominidae
Description: non-protein coding LINC01481:14
Source: RNAcentral
GCUCCGGCUUCCCUCCAGGCGGCAGCGGAAGGUGGGAGCGACGACUGCAAAACGGCAGCGAUGGGGGAGGCUUGCUGCUCCUCCGCGGCCGUUACAGAGAGCGGGGCUUCUGCGGCCGCUACCGUUUCCCUGGGGCUAGGUUGCUUCGCAGAAGGCUCUGGCCCUGAGUCCGAGGGGGACUGCGGGGUCCAGGGGCGAUGAAUGCUCCCGCAACCUCCGGAGCUUGUGCGCGUACUUCAGGGACCGGCACCACGUCACCGUCACCUCCUGAGUAGUGAGUUCCCCUCUGAUGAAACCACUGGUGUGUUUACUCACCAUCCCCACCAUUUUUUUUUCCCCAACCUGAUGGAAGGAAGUACAUAAUGGAGAGCAAGUUUUUAAAGCACGGUCGUGUCGUGUGAACUUGCUCUAGCCAAAUUAGGUUUAUAGCACUUUUUUUGGCUCUCAUUACCUCCAGUCCCCACAUAAACAAGAGUGACCAGCUGGGUCAUCCGCAAGACCGUUUGAAAUUAUUGUGGCUUGGGUGGAAACUUAAAGGAGUGAAGUAUCUGCUUUCCAGAAAAAUCGUUGUCAUUCAAAGUGAAAUUAAACUUGUUUUCUUUGCAAUAAUUCGCCUUUAUUUCCUUGUAUAUCUGUAAACUCUUCACUUUUUUGUAAUUACUAGACAAUUCGGACUUAAAAAGAGCCUCAGCAUGUGUAUUUUGGAAUUGUGUAGCUUCAUAAUGUGAAAAUUAUUCUUUUCUAUUUGAGUAAAGUACAGUUAAUUUGAAGUAAAUAAAAUUUCUAUUUCCAUUGGUUGUUUCUUUUAAAAAGUCACCUUUUACUUACAAAAGAAUCACUGUAAUCCAGUUUACAUUUAUCAUUGAAGGUCAAAAGCAAGAAAUAGGAAGAAACACAAGCAUACUAUAAAAUAAAAGGUAACUGUCAUGUUUUUGAAGGUAAGGUGUUUUGACAUAUCAGCAGACAUUGUGUGAAUUUAUUUCAACUCCUAGUGGUACUGGUGUAGGUAGAAAAUGUUUUGCUUGGUUAUUCAUUUCAUCAAACACUCUACUUCACUGUUUUUUUUUCACUUCAGGAAAAUUCGAGGAGGAACAACACAUACUAGUGUCUUUCCUUUCUUUCUCCCCGUCUUCUGCAAAUAGUCCCUUCCUCUUCCUGCUUUCUCCUCCUUCUCAUGUUAACAUCUUCAACCAUAAGAUGGUGUGUUAAAAGAUUGAAUAUACCUCUAUGGAAUGACUUCCAGAGGGUGUAAGUCUGAUAUGAGAGUUUUAUUACCUUGAGUAUUUUACUGGAAGAGAUAGAACAACAAACAUUUUCAUAAUAAAUGUGUGGGUUAGGAGUGUUAGGAGAAAAUACACUGAUACUAUUACUUUCAAUAUUUGAUACUACUUACUUUGACUCUCACUGAACACCUAUUUGUUUAGGAUGAAUUCACUUUAAGCCGGGUUGAAGAACAAGCCUUUAAUUGUCCUAUUAUUUGUGCCAAAUCUAUUAUAAAUUUGUUAAAAAAUUUUUAAUACCUACCUUAGAGGGUACUCUAGGUAUUUAAUGAGCUAGCAUUUGUUAAAGGCUUGUAUAGUAAGAAUUCUUAUAGUAAGAGUUCUUACCAAUAGAUGGUAUAUUUUUUAAAUUGUCCUGUUGCAUCAAAAAGUUCAUCUUUAUUGGUAAUGUUGAUUAAGUUUGCCCAUUUGGUAGUUUGGUUUCUUUUAACUAUCUUACUAGAUUUUCUUACUUUUACCUGAAAAGUAGUCCUUACUAAUAGGCACAUGUUUUGUAUAUUUCCAAAAUAUGUAUUAUGUUAAAUUCUCUGUACACUUUAUUUAAAAAUUACAGACGUUGAGGGAAAAAAAAUACCCUAUUAAGGGAAGAAUGAGUUUGUGUAUAACUUGUAGAAGAAGGAGGCCACCCAUUUUUAGAAAAAUAUGGAUGGUAUUGAAAAUUUUGCCAUGGCAAGGGAUAAAAAGGACAGGCUUCUCUAAUGUGUCUGAAACAACAUUUGAAUCCCCUUUGUUCAUUCCCUAAAUCUGCUGCUCCUUUAGAAUUCCUGAUUUUCAUAAAUAGUACCACCAUUCACUUAUUUGCUCAGGCAUAAAACUUGGAAUUUUCUGAUUCUUCACACUCAUACAACUCAUCAGACAGUACCAUCAGUUCUUCCUGACAAAUACAUUCUGAAUUUAGCUACUUAUCACUUCCACUGGUACAACCCUUGGGAGCCACCAUCAUCUGUUGCUGGACCACAGCAAUAACCACACUAGUUGCUAUCACUUUCUAUCUGUACCCUCAUGAAUAUUUUCCCAUUUAAACCAUUCUCUAUAUACCAACCAAAGCAAUCACUUAAAAAAUGUUAUUAGGUUAUGUCACUCCCUUGUUUAAAACCCUCCAAUAGCUUCCUUAUGCACACAGAAUGAAAUCGGAAUUCCUUACCAUAGCCUUCAAGACUGCAUAAUCUGGCUCCUGCCCACUUCUCCAUCUUCCCAGGAAGCAGCACAGGAAGUUGUUCUCACCCUUCUUACUGCCUCCUUUCUGUCGUGGGCUGUGCUUUUUCUAGUCUGUAGCAGAGUCUGUUAGUUGUCCCCAAAAAUUCCUCCAUUUUUUUCAUAGUAAUAGACAUGGAUACAUGGCUACCCAGAACAAAGACUAUAUUUUGCAGCCUUCCUUGUAGCCAUGUAAUAGUGCUGGCUGAUGGGAUGUAAGCAGUAUAUCAUGUGGCACACUUGUAAAACCAUCCUUAAAAGAUAGUUGGUGCACACCUUCAAUGCGGCUUUUCCUUUAUCCUGUACCGUGGAAUAUAGAUGUGAUGGCUUAGAACUGUAGCUGCCAAUUUGUGCCUCAUGCAAGUUCUCUCAUUCUAGGGAUGGCAAAACUAAACUGGUGGAAACCAGGGUCUGUGAGAACUUUAUGGAUCAGAGCACCAUGCUAGCCCUGCAGUCGUAAAUGUCUAUAUUAUUAAAGCCACUAUUUUGGAGUCUCUUGUUCUCAACUGAAUUUAAUCUUACCUGAUACUCUGUCUCAGGGCCUUUGCACUUGCUUUUUAUUUUUUAUUUAUUUAUUUUUUUUCUGCCUGGGAUGUGGUCUUCUGUCUUGGAUAUGGCUGACUCAUUCUCUUCCUUCAGGUUAACCCAAAUAUCUCUGACAGGCCUUCCCUGGCCACCGUAUCUAAAAUAGCUCACGUUCCCAUUUAUUCUCUGUCAAUCACGUGCCCCUCUAUUUUCUUAAUAGCAUUUAUAAUUUAUCAUUAUCUUGUUUAUUCACUGUUUAUUUUCUACCUCCCUUCACCCUACAAAAAUAUAAACUACACCUGUUUUUUUCCACUACUUUAUCCUUCACACAUGGUAGGCAUUAGAUAAAUGCUGUUAAAUUAGUGAGUGAAUGAAUCAACAAAAUUCUUAUCCAAGAUUAGCUAGACUUUUUAAAUAAUAAAUGAGUAAAUGUCAACAGAUAUCCUUAACACAAAAUUUGUAAAAUCCAAUCUAGGAAACAGGAAAAACAGUACUAAACUAAUAGGAUAUUCCUGACCUCCAACUUAAUAAAGAAGAUGUCUACCUUUUUCUGGGAAAUCUGUAAGGCUAGUACAAGUUAAAAAAAAAAAGACUGCACUGCAGUAUAUCCAGGGCUAAAAUUCACACUAAAAGGGGUCUGAAUUAUAAUUUACUAGACCUCAGUUUCUUCAUCUUAAAUAUGUGUAAGCUUUGAAUGGUAAUACUAUAACAGUUAAAAGUUUAAUAGUAAGCCCAACUUAUGAGUGACAAAACAUGUUAAACAUUAAUUUAGUCUUCAGGCACUAUUUUAACAAGUGGUUAUUUCUUGAUAAUACUGGCAAGGAUUCAGAGAAACAGGGCUGCUUAUAUUGCUGAGAGUGUAUGUUGGCAGCACUUUUCUAGAGUGCAGUUUGGCAAUAUGUAUCAAAAGCCUUGAGCCAUGUGCAUUUGACCCAGCGAUUCUUUUAGAAAUGUGUCAUAAGCAGGCUGGGUGCAGUGGCUCAUGCCUGUAAUCCCAGCACUUUGGGAGGCCAAGGCGGGUGGAUCACCUGAGGCCAGGAGUUUGAGACCAGCCUGGCCAACAUGGUGAAACCCCGUCUCUACUAAAUACAAACAAAUUAGCUAGGUGUGGUGGUGCACGCCUGUAGUCCCAGCUACUUGGAGGCUGAGGCAGGAGAAUCGCUUGAACCCGGAAGGCGGAGGUUGCGGUGAGCUGAGAUCAUGCCACUGCACUCCAGCUUGGGUGACAGAGCAAGACUCUGUCCAAAAGAAAAGGCCAGGCACGGUGGCUCAGAGAGCCACCUGUAAUGCCAGCACUUUGGGAGUCUGAGGUGGGGUUGGAUCACCUGAGGGCACAAGUUGAAGACCAGCCUGGCCAACAUGGUGAGACCCCAUCUCUACUAAAAAUACAAAAAUUAGCUGGGCAUGCUGGCGGGUGCCUGUAGUUUCAGCUAUUGGGAAGGCUGAGAUGGGAGAAUCACUUGAGCCCAGGAGGCAGAGGUUGUAGUGAGCCGAGAUUGUGCCACUGCAUUCCAGCCUAGGUGACAGAGCGAGACUCCGUCUCAAAAAAAAAAAAAAAAAAGAGAAAUGUAUUAUAAGCAAAUAAGGGUGUGUUUAACAAGUUAAUUGCAAGAGUAUUCUUUACUGCAUCAUUUAUUAGGAGAUUGGUUAAGCAACAUCCAUACAGUGAACAGUAUUCAGCCAUUUGAAAUGAUGUGGAGGAAAUUUUAUUGACAUGAUACAUUGUUAAGAGCAAAAGAAAAAGUUUUAAAAUACAAAUGUUUAAUUUGUAAGUCUCACAAACAUCAUCUAACGAAAUAUACACGAGGUGUUAAGUCAGCCUUGCAAACGUAACUAUUUUUUCAUUAUUUUUAUAUCAGUUACUGUUAUUGGAGCAUUUUAUAUUGACUGAGGAUCUUUAUUAAAACUUCUUCAGCCUUCUGUGAAAUCUUGUUAUGAUGGCUAUAGUGACACUAUAUAAAACACAUAACCAGAAUAUGUUUAUGCUCAAAUAUUUCAAGCAAUAUUUGAUGCUUAAAAUACCAAAGUGACAAUGAAAAUGAAAGAAAUUUGGAUAGUUCCUUAGAGUUAUUUGUUUGUGUUUCAGAUAUGAACAUAAAGUAUGUUUUUAAUAUUACCAGUUUUGAGAAUAAUAGAAUAAAUGCCUUCUCACCUUAAUAAGAUGUUCUGUUCUGACUCAGUAUUCAUUUGCCAUUUAUUUUUCAAAUGUAGCUGAAAUCUCAGUCAUGUUCCAGGCACUAUGUUUUGUCUCUGAGAGAGGAAAAACCAAACUUUUUCCCUGUUCUCAAAUACUACUCAAUACAAUACUUCUGCAACAAGAUGGGGUGGGAUAGCGGUCCCCCCUCACCCCCGCCCACAUCAAACCAUCAAUUUUCUAGCAGACAUCAGCUGGGUGUCUCAAUUCUAUUCAGUUCUGACACUAUCUACCUGGAGGCAGCAUCAGAUCGAACAGAUUGAGGGCUCGGUUCUGCAAGACUGCCCCCACCACUUCCAGUACCAGCCACAAGUAGUAGGUUGUCACCGAUACUCCUGACCAAGCUGUAAAUCAGGAUUCCCAUGAUCCCUUCCUCAGGUUCAAUUAGUUCACUAGAGUGGCUCACAGAAGUCGGAGAAACACUUUACUAGCAUUUACCCAUUUAUUAUAAAGGAUAUUACAAAGCAUACAGGUGAACAGCUGGAUGGAAGAGGAAUCUGCACACCUUUUCUCCCAUACCUUGCCCUAUGUAUAGGUAGGGAGAAGAGGUGUGGCAAUUCCAUGCCUUCUCCAGGCAGGCCAGCUUCCAGGAACCUCCUAGUGUUCAGCUAUCAGGAAGCUCUCUGAACCCUGCCUGUCCUUUUGGGCUUUUAUGGAUACUUCAUUAUGUAGGCAUGAUUGAUUACAUUAUUGGUCACUGGUGAGCAAAUAACCUUUAACCCCCUCUCCCCUCCCUGGAGGUGAGGAGCCAGGUUAAAGUUCCAACUCCCUAAUCACAUGGUUGGCUUCCCUGGCAACCAGCUCCCAUCCUGAGGCUACCCAGGAGCCCAUCAAGAGUUACCUCAUUAGAACAAAAGAUUCUCCUAUCGUCCAGGAAAUUCCAAGGGGCUUAGGAGCUCUGUCAGGAACCAAGGGUCAAAGACUGAAUAGAAUAAGAUUCUCCUAGUGCCCUUUAUCUAGAAGUUUUAGGACCUCUGGGCUAGGAAACAGAGACGAAAACUAAAACGUGCAUACAGAAGAUAGAUCUAUAUAUAUAAUAUUAUAAAUCACAUCACCUUGUCAUUUAGUUCUCAAGAAAACUAUGUGAUGUCAGAAUAAUAGUAUAAUUUUUUCCAUUUUCUUGUAUGCUACAUGUAUGUAGCAGAUAUCAUUUAAAUUGGUGAACCACAUUUCCCCCCCUUUAAAUAUCCUUGUCCAUAUAUUGAAUCUCUCUAAUACUCAUCACCUUUGGAAUUGAUCAUGGCAGUAUUAAAGGCACUUCUAUUCUGAACUGAACAUUAAAGAUGCUAUUACCCCUCCAGUGCUUUUGUGGGUCACUAUCAUCUAUAAAAAAUAUCCUAAAAGGAGAAGCCAAAUAAAUGAGGUAAUCAGUGGAAAGAAUAUAAGAUCCUUGGAAUCUAAAAAAUGGCUGUAACCAAUCAGCAUAAUAAAACCUCUAACAAUAGAAAAAUAGUUAACCACUUAGUUUAGCAUCUGCUAAAUGGCAAGCACCAUAAUUACAUGAUUUCACUCAAUCUGUGUAACAUUUCUGUGUGAUAGGUGGUAUUUGCAUUUUACAGAUGAGGAAAUGGAGGCUUUAAGAGAGGUUGCUAGAUAUAUCUAGAAAACCCCAUUGUCUCAGCCCAAAAUCUCCUUAAGCUGAUAGGCAACUUGCGCAAAGUCUCAGGAUACAAGAUCAAUGUGCAAAAAUCACAAGCAUUCUUAUACACCAAUAACAGAGAGCCAAAUCAUGAGUGAACUCCCAUUCACAAUUGCUUCAAAGAGAAUAAAAUACCUAGGAAUCCAACUUACAAGGGAUGUGAAGGACCUCUUCAAGGAGAACUACAAACCACUGCUCAAUGAAAUAAAAGAGGAUACAAACAAAUGGAAGAACAUUCCAUGCUCAUACGUAGGAAGAAUCAAUAUCGUGAAAAUGGCCAUACUGCCCAAGGUAACUUAUAGAUUCAGUGCCAUCCCCAUCAAGCUACCAAUGACUUUCUUCACAGAAUUGGAAAAAACUACUUUAAAGUUCAUAUGGAACCAAAAAAAGAGCCCACAUCGCCAAGUCAAUCCUAAGCCAAAAGAACAAAGCUGGAGGCAUCAAGCUACCUGACUUCAAACUAUGCUACAAGGCUACAGUAACCAAAACAGCAUGGUACUGGUACCAAAACAGAGAUGUAGACCAAUGGAACAGAACAGAGCCCUCAGAAAUAAUGCUGCAUAUCUACAACCAUCUGAUCUUUGACAAACCUGACAAAAACAAGCAAUGGGGAAAGGAUUCCCUAUUUAAUAAAUGGUGCUGGGAAAACUGGCUAGCCAUAUGUUGAAAGCUGAAACUGGAUCACUUCCUUACACCUUAUACAAAAAUUAAUUCAAGAUAGAUUAAAGACUUAAACGUUAGACCUAAAACCAUAAAAACCCUAGAAGAAAACCGAGGCAAUACUAUUCAGGACAUAGGCAUGGGCAAGGACUUCAUGUCUAAAACACCAAAAGCAAUGGCAACAAAAGCCAAAAUUGACAAAUGGGAUCUAAUUAAAGAGCUUCUGCACAGCAAAAGAAACUACCAUCAGAGUGAAAAGGCAACCGACAGAAUAGGAGAAAAUCUACUGCAAUCUACUCAUCUGACAAAGGGCUACAAUGAACUACAAUGUAGAUCCAGAAUCUACAAUGAACUCAAACAAAUUUACAAGAAAAAAACAACCCCAUCAAAAAGUGGGCAAAGGAUAUGAACAGACACUUCUCAAAAGAAGACAUUUAUGCAGCCAAAAGACACGUGAAAAAAUGCUUAUCAUCACUGGCCAUCAGAGAA